GUGGGGAAUAUUGCACAAUGGGGGAAACCCUGAUGCAGCGACGCCGCGUGAGUGAAGAAGUAUUUCGGUAUGUAAAGCUCUAUCAGCAGGGAAGAAAAUGACGGUACCUGACUAAGAAGCCCCGGCUAACUACGUGCCAGCAGCCGCGGUAAUACGUAGGGGGCAAGCGUUAUCCGGAUUUACUGGGUGUAAAGGGAGCGUAGACGGUUGUGCAAGUCAGAAGUGAAAGCCCGGGGCUCAACUCCGGGACUGCUUUUGAAACUGUGUAACUGGAGUGCUGGAGAGGUAAGUGGAAUUCCUAGUGUAGCGGUGAAAUGCGUAGAUAUUAGGAGGAACACCAGUGGCGAAGGCGGCUUACUGGACAGUAACUGACGUUGAGGCUCGAAAGCGUGGGGAGCAAACAGG
Molecule: ribosomal RNA, 405 nt
Filed under: uncultured bacterium
Lineage: Bacteria
Description: bacterial SSU rRNA
Rfam family: Bacterial small subunit ribosomal RNA
Source: RNAcentral